This 265-nucleotide unclassified non-coding RNA is filed under the name fungal sp. Its description in RNAcentral is "partial internal transcribed spacer region". The stretch from base 1 to 46 matches the Rfam family "Eukaryotic small subunit ribosomal RNA", at positions 1786 to 1831 of the family's 1831-position model. Lineage: Eukaryota; Fungi. The record is from RNAcentral.
AAGUCGUAACAAGGUUUCCGUAGGUGAACCUGCGGAAGGAUCAUUAAUGAAAGUCUGGGCUUCGGCCCUCUCUCUUCUCUACACACUUGUGAACCUACCCUGUUGCUUUGGCAGGUCUCUCGAGGUGCGGACGUCAAGUCUGCAUCGAGAGUUAGACCGAAAGGUGCCUGCCAAAGACACUUUAAAACACCCUUUUAAGAUUGUCUGAUUUUUUGUUUGAAACAAAAACUAAAUAAAACUUUCAACAAUGGAUCUCUUGGCUCUG